RNAcentral lists this ribosomal RNA (465 nucleotides) under uncultured bacterium. RNAcentral describes it as "partial 16S ribosomal RNA". It matches the Rfam family "Bacterial small subunit ribosomal RNA", at positions 28 to 507 of the family's 1533-position model. The record is from RNAcentral.
GACGAACGCUGGCGGCGUGCUUAACACAUGCAAGUCGUACGGUAAGGCCCUUUCGGGGGUACACGAGUGGCGAACGGGUGAGUAACACGUGAGUAACCUGCCCACAACUUUGGGAUAACGCUAGGAAACUGGUGCUAAUACUGGAUAUGUGCUCCUGCUGCAUGGUGGGGGUUGGAAAGCUCCGGCGGUUGUGGAUGGACUCGCGGCCUAUCAGCUUGUUGGUGGGGUAGUGGCCUACCAAGGCGGCGACGGGUAGCCGGCCUGAGAGGGUGACCGGCCACAUUGGGACUGAGAUACGGCCCAGACUCCUACGGGAGGCAGCAGUGGGGAAUAUUGCACAAUGGGCGCAAGCCCGAUGCAGCAACGCCGCGUGCGGGAUGACGGCCUUCGGGUUGUAAACCGCUUUCAGCAGGGACGAAGCUUUUUGUGACGGUACCUGCAGAAGAAGCACCGGCUAACUACGUG